AUCGACAGCCCCUCUUCCUCCCUCCAUAACCACUUUCUUCACAAAUCCCAUCUUUAUUGAUGAAUUGAUGAAGCAAUUGCAUGAUUGGAUUAUUUUGGAGGGGGUGUUGUUGCACAUAGAAUUCUAGUUGACUCCUCCACAUGCAAAUACCCGUCGAACGUAUCGGUCGUUUGCUCGGUAGCAAGUUGUCGGAUGGCACAAGUACAAUUCUGCAACGCCGAGAGACUUUGCCGACUGGUUGCGUCUGUACGUACGUGAUUGGAAGUAUUCAACACUGGCGGACAAUGUGUUGACAAUACGCAAAAACAAGCGUUUUGACAUGCGGAAACGGCGCUGGAAGUAAUCUGCCAGAAAUCGAGGCUCGUCGGAAAAUAGUCGCGAAUGAGCCUUUCAUGGGCUCCCACCCGGUCAUGAGGGAUGUAACAGCGAUUUGAUCUCGUUGAUCGAGGAGAAGGGCGGGUGGCAACGCUACAUAGGCUUCAUAGGCGGCACAAUAUUGUUGAUAGAAUUCUUGUUCUUCGCGCUGCGCUUCAGCAAUGAUCUCGUUCGGAUCUAUUUUUGAAUUUAGAGUGUUUGAGUGAGGGAGGAAGAUGUAGAUUUGUUGUAUGGAAAAAUAUUAGAGAAGUAUGAGUGAAGAUAAUAUGAUAUAACAAAUGGAUGAUAAAUGUGCGUAUUUAUAGACGAUUUUGGGAUUAAAAAAAUUCAAAAAAAAAUUCAAAAAAAGGGUAAUAAAAUGGCUAUAUUUUUUGGGAAUCCGAAAAUAUAUAUUUUUUUAUUUUAAGGAUUAUUUUUAUUUAAAAAAAAGAAAUUCCAGCGAAAAUUCUGUUGGCGAAUAAGAUGGCGCCACCAUGUCAGUGUGCUCUUCGGCACAACGGUACUAUUGCUAUCGAGUAGGGCCAUGCUGUCGGCAAGAGCACAACGGCGAGCAGGGUACUCGCCGCGCCGAUGGCACGAAGGGUGCUCUUAGUCAAGAGCAUCACUGCAGAUGCUCUAAAUCAAUGUUGCAAAAUAAUUACCUGAUUAAAACCUGCAAGCUUAAUAAUAAUAAUACUGAUGAUAGAAAUAAUAGAAAAAUGCAGUAAAAGCUGCAAAUGUCCAAGGUGCAGUGGCCUCAGUUCAAGCCGAGUUUUCAGGCAGUUUUGAAGUCUAAUCAGUUAUUAAUGCAUACCAUUCCCUUCGUCUUCAAAAUAGCUUCGAGUGGAUAGCUUGCACGUCUCAAUCGGAGUUCUGUGGAGAGUUAUGACUAAUUCAACGAACAUUGCGCAGUGCAGUCAAAGCUGACAGACAUUAGACGGAAAUUCUAGGAAUGAAGAAAUUAUUGCCCAAAUCUCUCCUAUUAAUUAAAGGAGUCGAAAAUAUCAUAUUUUCUAUUAUUGGAGGAAAUUUUUUACCAUGUCUAAACCUUUUUCUAGCCUAUAAAUACCCAUAACCUAAUUCAUGUCAUACAUCUCAGAGUCUCAAAUCCUUUUCCCCUUUUACACAUUCUUCCAUUCCAUUUUCCAAAAAUAAUUCAUCCAUCGUCCAUUGGAGCUAUGCUGAUCCAGGCAAGAGAAGAGUAAAGAUUGAAGAUUCAACCUUGGGUUUUAUCAAUUUCUUUCAUGUCUUGUACUUUUAUUGUUUUUACUGCUUGUCUAUGAGUAGUUAAACUUCCUUUGUAGAUUGUUUGGUGAAGACUAUUAUGAACAUGCUUUGAUUUAUUGAAUUGAACCUUUUCCA
Salvia hispanica is the source of this 1716-nucleotide long non-coding RNA. RefSeq lists it as uncharacterized. The record is from RefSeq and is a predicted model, not a curated record. Lineage: Eukaryota; Viridiplantae; Streptophyta; Magnoliopsida; Lamiales; Lamiaceae.